This 305-nucleotide ribosomal RNA is filed under the name uncultured bacterium. RNAcentral's name for it is "bacterial SSU rRNA". It matches the Rfam family "Bacterial small subunit ribosomal RNA", at positions 333 to 655 of the family's 1533-position model. The record is from RNAcentral.
UCUUUCCUACGGGAGGCAGCAGUGGGGAAUAUUGCACAAUGGGGGAAACCCUGAUGCAGCGACGCCGCGUGGGUGAAGAAGCGCCUCGGCGCGUAAAGCCCUGUCAGCAGGGAAGAAAAUGACGGUACCUGAAGAAGAAGCCCCGGCUAACUACGUGCCAGCAGCCGCGGUAAUACGUAGGGGGCAAGCGUUAUCCGGAUUUACUGGGUGUAAAGGGGGCGCAGACGGCGAUGCAAGCCAGGAGUGAAAGCCCGGGGCCCAACCCCGGGACUGCUUUGGAAACUGUAUGGCCUGAGUGCGGGAGG